UGUCUUAUCAACUCAGAUAAUCAGGUGCCACCUCUCUCCGUCUCUUAGUAAUUCUGCUUCAAAUUUUGGAGGAUUAAUUGGUUUUGAUUGAUGCGAUUCUGACUAGUGGUGAAUUUGCAUUUUGGAAAUUGGAAAGUCUUCUAGAGUGGCUUGUACUGUGUGAAUUAGGAGCUUACUGGACCUAUUGUUUGUCCAUAUAUGUUUGUUUGUUUGUUUCCAUAAUGUUGGUGCUUUUUUUUAAAAAAAAUUGAUUAACUGGUUAAAGAAGUUGGUUUUGUUGUUAUUAUAACUGGACAUUGAUGUUGAAUCUGAUUGCCUAUCAUCUAUGGAGGAAGAUCCGAAAUUGUGGACGAUGUUCGUGAGCUGAGAACCUGCUUAAUCUUCAUAUGAUUUUUGUUUUUAAAUACCAAUAUUGAAAUUUAAAUGGGAAGAAAAAUCGGAUCUCUAGAUAUUUGUUAAAUUUUCCUAAAAAAAUGGGAAAUUUGAUUUAUUAUGAGUAAUUUAUGGGUGAUUUAUUGAUACAAUAAACUAGAGAUAGAUAUGCUCAAUGUCUGAUACUAUCUCAUUGAUUCCUCUUUCCAAUUAUCUGUUGUUUGAGUGUUGGAGGAUGUGGCCAUCUUCUAUAUCAUCAUAUCAAACUGCAAGGAUGGAAGACGACUGAUUUUGUAGCAAUAGUCAUAUUGUAUUAAACAGUAAACUGGAUGACUUCUCCUCUCCACAAGUUGGAGGAUCUGUUAGUGAAUAUAUCUUCAGUUUAAAAUAAGUAGAAGGUUUAAUGUUCGCUGAUACAGCUAUUCAGCUAACAUAUGUAUAUCGUACACUUAUCUAUUAUGUAGUAUGAUCAUAUUAAUUCACAGAUGGGACUAUGAAUAUAUUACCUCCUUUUUUGAUUCAUUAUAAG
RNAcentral lists this unclassified non-coding RNA (901 nucleotides) under Hevea brasiliensis (rubber tree). The record is from RNAcentral. Lineage: Eukaryota; Viridiplantae; Streptophyta; Magnoliopsida; Malpighiales; Euphorbiaceae.